Molecule: long non-coding RNA, 557 nt
Organism: Pantherophis guttatus
Lineage: Eukaryota; Metazoa; Chordata; Lepidosauria; Squamata; Colubridae
Source: RefSeq, a predicted model, not a curated record
CUAAGAGAGGAAGAUCACUGUGUCUUCCUGCAUACUCUGAAGGAAAAAGAAAAGGCAAUUAUUGUCUUCUUGAAGUUCUACUUCACGGAAGGGUUGUGAGACUAAAAUUGUGGACUGACAGGAACAUGUGUGUCACCUGUAUUCCUGGAGAAAAGGCAAGAAUUUACUGUGAAGGUAACAACAACAACAACAACAAAAGUCACUGGAAGUUACCACAGCUUUAGAAUGUAACCAAGAUGCAUAAUCAAGUCUCAAGAUUGAAUCCCCCUCCUGAGGAGUUCCUGAGAUUGUGUGAAUCAAGACCUAGGAGGCUAUGUGAAGCUUUAGCCAACAAAAGCAUUGCCUUUCCACUUUAGAAAAGGGAAAACACUUCCCACAGAUGAUGGCCAUGCAGGAGAAGGAGGGUUCUUCCCAAAGCCAGCGAGGCGGUACAAAGCAAAGCAAAAACCUGAGAUCGUGGAGGUGAUGAAGAAAAUGGCAAUGAUGAUGAUCACAGGUUCCCACCCAGCUGAUACAUUUCUAGGCAGUAGUUUGGAAAUAAGACCCAGUGAUGCCAG